AUAAUAUUUGAAAUGUAAAUAAAGAAAAUAUCUAAUAAAAAAAUCAAAAUGUGUCACCUUUUAAGAGAUGAAGAUGAAAGUAAUGAAUGAUGAAACAGAAGAAACAGCUGCAUAGAAAAUUGUCCAAAAUUCAGGACCAGAAAAUUAUAAGGGGAAAAUGCAAAGCAGGACUUGAAGCCAGCACUGCCACCUACAAGCGAGGACUGUGAAAGGGAAAAAGACUGAAACUCCAGUCAUCUGGAUAUUUGUCCAAGCUGCCAGAAAACUAAGAAUAGACCUGUAGAGCGGGGCUUCUGGUUUAUACAAAAUAGAAAUGUGUUUAAAAUAAGAAAAGAAAAAGAACUUCAAAGCCUUGGCAUUAUUUGAA
Mus spicilegus (steppe mouse) is the source of this 367-nucleotide long non-coding RNA. The record is from Ensembl. Lineage: Eukaryota; Metazoa; Chordata; Mammalia; Rodentia; Muridae.